CUUUUUUUUUUUUUUUUUUUUACAAGGAGCACAACUUCCUGAAAUUCCAGGCUGUGUCAAGUGCGACACUUCAGAUUUUUUCAGCAGCUUCAUCAUGUCACUACAGGGAUCUGCUCUGAGUUGAAGAUCAUGUUUGAGAUUGAGGCUUCAGAUGAGUAAAGCUGAGGAUUGUGACCCGGAGAGGGAGGGUAAGUAGGUGUCGGGUUAAGAGUUAUUAGGUGGGGGGGGAUUUGAAGGCAGCAGGGUGAGAAAUGGUGUCUAUUUGAGGGCACCCCAAGGUUUUUGACAAGCAUAGCAGAGGCAUUCAUGUGUCUUGUACCACCCCAGCUCACUUACUGCACUCAGAAAUGCCGUGUAACUUUGGCUCUCUCUAACCCAGGUGCUAGUCAUAACAGCUAUAGCCUCAGACUCAGGAUGAAGCUGGAGUCUUGAGGACCUAGGCAUACUUAGGAGAGGUCAAGUAGCUGACUUGCUGGGAUUUGGCCCGCAUAACACUACAGUCAUGCAUUGAUUUCGGUGUUCUUUAUUGUAGCUCACUGAGACAAUAACCAGCAAUCACGAGGCCUUCUGAGGCUGACUCAUUUCAGGUCCAACGUGGAUUCAUGUCGCCGGUCAUCCAAAAGAUAAGCUGGGGGCCACAGCCUGGAGAUGGGAUGAUCAUGUAGUAGAGGACUGUAAAUUCCUGGGACAGAUUUAAAAAUUAGCAGAGGGGAAAGGGAUAUCCUCUAAGGGGCUUUUAGGGCAGCUAAAGGAAGAGGCCCUACUUUUGAUUGCAGAUGUAGGGUGUGCAGUGCAGAGCAGUUCCAGUCUGUGUUGUGUUGUCCGGUAUACUGUGUUUCCUAGCGUGCCGUCGGGGUGCCUCAGAUCGGGUAUCUCUGCCUUUUCUCCUCGAGGGCCUUACCGCAAGCAUCAGCCACGAUCUCUAGGUUCUCGAACGCUCACGCUUCUCGGCAGUUCGUUCUUUUCCCCGCGGGCUCGGCCGUGUUUCCAUGUCGCAAUUCAGAAGCAUCGAGUCAGAUGACUUUUGAGGCCUUGCUUCCAGCAGUAUCACCAUCCAUCCUUUUCAGCCAUGAGUUGUAAUGUCCUGGCACUUAAAAGUUUGCAGGGAUACGGAGAGCAUUCUAAAUGUAGCAUUGUCUCAUGGUCAUUUCAAUCAUUGUGACCAACAGUUCUUCUAACAGGUCACUCUGUUACAGUCUUCUCUUUUUCUCCCUAGAGCCUCUGCCAUUCACUGUUGCCAUAGCAUCGGGCAUCUCUUUUGGCAUCAUCUCAGUCCUUGCCAUUAUUCUUCUUGCCAGGAAGAUUUUUAUUGUCCUUCUGUCACAAUCUUGUUAACAUAAUGUGUUGCGUGUCUUUACCAUCCCCUCUUUUGUCAUGUCCGGUCCUGUGUCACGGGUGUAAGCACAUAUUUGUCCUGGAGCUGUUGUGCCCUGUUGCAUAGCCUAGUGUGAUGGGGCAAGCCCCGGGGACUUGAAUUUUUGUAAUGCAGGGUGGAGUUGGACUCUAGAUGGUAUUCCUGGAUUGACAGAAGGUGUCUGGAUCUGUUAAGUUAUCCUGCAGCCAUUUGACUUUUGUCCUAACUUUCUUUCAGAUGCAGGCAGUUUAAAUCCAUGGCAGAAUGCCCCAUCCCUGGAGAAGGGGGUUCCCUGGUCAGGAAUUAAAUCCAGAUGUUGGCAGUCAAGGCAAUCCACUCGGAGUAUGCCAAGCCCCCAUCACCAACCAGCUGGUGGACCAGGUUUCCUGUGCUUGUGAGCAGUCUGGAAAUAUUUCAGGACUCUGUGAUGGAGCUUUGAAAUCUAUUAUUUCAAGGUGGCAUCUGGGCAUACCCUGUGAUGAUGGCCUCAGCCUCUGAGCAAGGCCGGAGCGUGUGGCCCAAGCACCUGGGCAUUCUUAGGAGGAUGCUAAGCAAGGGACCACAGCCCGGUGACCACAGGAAAUUCCCAGCGGGCGAGGUGACCUUCCUUCAUACCUGACGUGGAUUCUCAUCCCCAGAUGUCCAAGAGAUAAGUCGAGGGCUAUGAACCAUAGAGAGGAUGAAAGCGAAGUGCUGGGAGGGCUUUUUGAAUCAGCUUUGGUGGCAGGUAUGUGCAAGAAGUGUCCCCUUAGGCCACCUAAAGGGAAAGAGUCUCUUUUGAUCACAGUGCUGAGGUGCUCAGGGCAGAGCAGUUCUGGUGUGUGUUGUGUCACUUGUCUAUUGUGCAUUCUGUGUGUUUGGGUAUAUCAUGUCAUAUGGCUUUUACCUUGCCCCUUUGAGGGCCUGUCAGAAACCCUCCUGUCAUUCGUGGUAUCUGAUAUCUGCGUUCCUUGGACGGGCACCAGUGCAAUAGGACUCUUGAUUCUGGAGGUCAGACAGGCAUUUGAAUUGCAUCUCUCUUUAGAAGCAUCCAGUCAGAUGUCUUUUAAGGUCUUGUUCUGAGCUGUGUUCACAGCUGCACACCACAAUGGUCCGUUAUAUCAGGUCAGGACUUGUAAGAAUGUGAAGCUAGCAAGAGCCUUUUUUACAUGAGAUUCUUGGGCACUGAUCUUCGUGGUUCUCCGAAUAAAUCAUUCUGUUAGCAUCUUGUUCCUGCAGGGUUCUCUGAGCCUCAUGGGCUCUGAGCCGUCAGUCUCACCUAGGUCAUCUCGUUCUGCAAUCUCUCAGUCCUUGCAGGCAUUCUUCUGGCUGAGAGCUCUCUCUCUCUGUUGUGUCCCCUUGUUUGUCAUGUCCUGUCCUGUGUCUGCACAUAUCUGUCCUGGAGCUCCUCUGCCCUGCUGCAUAGCCUGCAAUAGAACAAGUCCUUGCAGGGUAAUGCAGGGUAUAGUUGGGCUCUAGAUUAUAUUAGUAGGUUGACAUAACAUGUUUGGUUCUGUUAAGUUGUCCUGCAGCUGUUUGACAUUAGUCCUAACUUUCUUUCAGAUUCAGAUGGUCUCAAUUCAUAGCAGACUGCUCCAUCCCCGUUCAGCAGGUUUCCUUGAGAACGUCAGUCGCUGUUUGUUUUUGCACGUGAAGCAAACACAAGUGUUACAGCACUGUUCUUUGUCCUUAUUUUUAUGAAGUUAUAUGGGAUAGCAGCAGUCAUGCUGAAGUGGGCGCGGUGAGCAUUGAGCAGCAGACAAAAGCGGUUGUUUUUGCUCAGUUUGCAAUUUCUGGUGAAACUCUAAGCAUCCACUAUUGGUUUUUUUUUGAAUUUUAGGCAGUCCUCUUGCAAUAUGUCUCUGGUCCCAGAUGUCUGAGGCCAGGUGCUGUCCACUGCCCUGGCUGUGAGAAGGAACUGAGGUGAGCGGGUGAGUCGGCAUUUAGGCAGAGUGACUCAUAGGUGACUGUUACGCAGCAGCAUGCUAAGCUUGUACUUUUUUAUUUUGCAGGUAUCUUCCGAGCAGCCUGUGGAGUCAAAUCAAGAUUUCAGAUGAGCUGGGGCAGUGGUGUGUCAGAGUUCCGGGGAUUCCUCUUUUGGAGGGUGCUAAUUGCAUUUUCUGCUUUGUCUUAGGUACCGUGAGGCAUCGCGUAGUUGAAGUUUGGAAACAGCAGCACCAAAGUGGAGGUAGAGAAUGUCUCGUCGUCCAUGUCCAACUGACAUUGGAUUCCAUCUGGUCAUCUUGCAAAAGCUAAGUGCUGGCGCCAAUAGGUGGGAGAAGGGGAAAAACUAUUACUAUCACAGGAGGCAAUUUGAUGUUAGCUUAGAGGAGAGGCCCGUAGUGGGACGGGUCCCUCGGAAGCAAAGGGAGAGGGUUUCUCCUCAGCCCCACUAGAAUCUUUGCCGGGCAGGGCAGUUCCAAUCCAUCUCCGCGUUCUCGUGAGGUUCACAUCGGCGGCCUGCUUAGACUCUUGACGUCGUCGUGGAUCUUUUCACCCGAGGAGCCCGCCUUCACGUCUGGAGCUGUAGCUACAGUCACCCGGUAGUCAUUGCUUUCUUUAGGCCUACUGUGCUUCUUAGGCUUCCUCUUAAGUGCUUUGGCACUAACAUCUUGAAAGGAGUUACAUUUCAUCAUCAUGUGCUAGUGCCCUAGGGCUUUCUUUCCUUUGGCAUCAUCAGCCCAUGGCUCAUCUUGGGCUAGGAAUGUUGGGUCCAUAAGGUGAAACUGCCAGGCAGUUUCCACUUGUGUCUGUGUUAUGGUGUCCGCGUCUGUGUUACGGUGUCUGUGUCCAUUGAUUUCUGUGUCAUAGGCCUUUGUUACAUCCCCAUGCUGAUUUCUGUGUCAUAGGCCUUUGUUACAUCCCCAUGCUUUAGCAUCAUCAUUCUGUGCCAUAUUGGCCGUCUUUUACUUGCGUACCUUCCCGGAUAUCACUUACUCCGGCAUCUUUACAUUUUUACUUUUUGGGACAGGAAGACAUACACGAGAUGUUCUCAUCCAUCUUCCUUCUCAACUUUGGUAGUGCCUUUUCAUCCCAGUGCCAUUCUCUUGGUCUUCUAUAGGGAGCAUAUUAGACCCUCAUCACGUGACUGCAGUAGUUCUGUAGCUUCCACCUUCUCCAAGGGUAUAGGGCUCAAGAAUUAAUCUUCUGGAGAGUUAUGUCAAGUUCUCACUUAUAUUGUAUCUCUGUUGGCUUAUACUGUAUGUGCUUAUAUUGUAUGUACCUAUACUCUGUGUACCUAUGUUGGCUUAUAUUGUGCGUACUCACAUUGUAUGUACCUACCUUGGCUUAUGUUGUAUGCGCCUCUGUUGUGCCAAUCAUGAUAGGAGCUGCCCUGCCCGGGCACUCAGUUAUGCUUAGGUAGAGCAGUUAUAAGACUUUGCAGUUCAUCUGUCUUCUAUGGGGUUUUGGGUACAAAAUUUUUGGGCCUGGAGUGGGACUAGUUCCUAGCUGUCAGAUAGUCAGUCGUUGACCACCUCCCAUUGUCUCGCAGGUCCCCGGGUCCCUACACAUUUUCCUGGAGUCUACCAUUUGACAUUGAGGAGCUGUAGUCAGAUGAUGUGUUGAAGGAUAUUCUUCAGCGUAGUGUUACAAGUAAGGGUGGCAGUCAGUGUGUAAGCAGAAGAGUGUGUGAGAGAGUGUGAUUGUCUGUGUCUGUGAGAGCUUGUGUGUGCUUGUCUGCAGGUCUGAGCGUAUGUUGACCGGUUCUAAUGUUGUGUGUAUGACUUUUGUCUUUCAGGUUUUUUAACUAAUUUUUAAAUUUAGAAUAAAAAAUCCCCAGCUGUCAUUUUGGUUUUUUUUUUUCUCCCCCAGAUGGGGUUUUUUUCCCUUGGUCCUGGCCAGUCUGCGAGGCGACGUUCAUCGCCAAAGUUUGGAUACGGACUGGCCCAGGACAGGGGUUUUUGUCAGGCAGGAGGAUUUUUUGGAGGCUCCCGAGAGCCAUGUUCCCGAGGAACAAUGAUUCCUGGGGUGUAACGGAGCAGUUGAGAUGAGAGCAAUGGUGAGUUUGUGUGUAAUGUGAAGGAGGUGCUUAUGGUGGGUGAGUGUUGUUUUGUGUGUGUAAUCUUUGUUCUGGGUUUCCUCUAACAAUAAAACAAAAUGUAAUGAAAAUAGAAAAAAGAUCACAUUGUGUUAAUGUGUUUGGUUUCUAUUGCCCUGUGUUGUUCUGUAUUUGCAUUUGCUGCUGCAUUUCUAUGUACUGUAUAUAUGCAUGUAUAUGGAUUGUAUCUGUGCUUGCAUUUGUAUCCAUUGUUUCCAUGUGUUUCGUUGAAAUGUAAAUAAAAAAAUUAAUUCAAUAAAUUUGAAUAAACCCUAGUAAUGAUGCCCCUGCUCCCUCACUUUCUGGCUUUGGCUCCUGUCUUUCUUUGGUGUGGUUUAGUAAUUUUUUUUCAUUGUAUUUCUUCCAUUGCUUCUCAUCUUACUUUUCUAUCUCUGACUUCAUUUCUGUCUGUCCCUAACUCUGUGUUUCUAUUUCUCACUGUUUCUAACUCUGUCUCUCUUCUUCUCUAUAUCCUUAUAUUUCUUUUUCCUUCUUCCCUCCCUCCCUCUUCCUUCUCUCCCUCCCUCCUUCUUCCUUUCCAUUUCCAGCUACUUAUUUUUCUCCCUAUAGUUGAUACUUUACUCUUUAUUUCUUUUUCUCUCUAACUCUUUGUUUUCCUCUUUUUUACUCUCACUCUUUCUUUUUCUUUUUCACUGUAACCCUUCUCAUUUUUCAUUCUCUUUCUUUUUUCACUGUUUGCCACUGUUUUCCUAGUUCUUUUUUUCCCAUCUCUCUUUUCCUCUCCAACUUCAACUUUUUUUAACCCUUUGCUUCUCUCUAUUUCUACCUUUGUUUCUAACUCGGCUUUCCUUUCUAGCUUUUAAGAAAGCAGCAGUAAAAACUUUCAGGCUCCCUGGGAGGGAAAAAAAAACAAACCAACCAAACCUUUAAAAAAUUAUUUAAAGAAAAUUACUUACUCCGCAGGAGCCUGAAAUUUUCUACUGCUGCACCAGACAUACAGUUUUUCUUCUUUUUCCUAAUAGAUAUAGGGCCCCUAAUUAGCGAUAUAGCUGGCAGGUAGCAAUAGCAAUAUGCAGCAACCAUGGCACCAGUACUCCCAUCAACCCCACCAGGCAAAUAAUGAUACAACCAAGAGUUAACCACAUUGAAACAUAAAUUUUAAGGGAUAUAGAGAUGUUAGAGGAGCUAAGAUUUUAGUUAGAGACAAGCCUUACUAGAGCUAAUUAAAAUAAAUGAGUAGGCCUUGAUAAAGUUAGGAGUUAGUAGUUAACUGAUUGCUUGUCAGCACAAUGUUUAGUUAGCUGGGUUUAUAAUGAAGAAUAUAGAAACUGACAAAUAGCUUUUAGGAACGUAAGACAAUUGUGGGCCUCCUCUGUUCUGAAAUCAAAUGAAGACAAGGAAUGGGAGUUCUAACAAGAGUUCAUUUGUCAUAUUUGCAUUGAAAUGGUAGAAAGGCCAGAACGAGGAAGACUUCAUUUACUUCCACAUUUUGGGAGUCAUCCCCACAAAAGGGACCACUGACCCAUUUCAGGAAAAAAACUUCAUGCUUAAUAGCUUUUGAAAUGAUUAAUAUAUGAAGCAAGGAAUGUGAUGUACCAAAAUGAAUAUGUAUUUGUAUUUUCGGUAUUCAGUACUUGUAUGGACAAAAGGGCUCUUUAAUCACUUGGAAAGUGCGGUGUGUACUUGGGAACUAUCCCACAUGCUGCUGGGUGUCGAAUAAACAUACACUUUCUAACUUC
Molecule: long non-coding RNA, 7072 nt
Filed under: Taeniopygia guttata (zebra finch)
Lineage: Eukaryota; Metazoa; Chordata; Aves; Passeriformes; Estrildidae
Description: lncRNA (ENSTGUG00000022598.1)
Source: RNAcentral